This 380-nucleotide unclassified non-coding RNA is filed under the name uncultured Gemmatimonadaceae bacterium. RNAcentral's name for it is "contains 16S-23S intergenic spacer region". The record is from RNAcentral. Lineage: Bacteria; Pseudomonadati; Gemmatimonadota; Gemmatimonadia; Gemmatimonadales; Gemmatimonadaceae.
UCCCCGUUCCCCGGGGCAGUCCCCUCAGAGUGCCCGGCAUGACCCGGUAGCAACAGAGGGCGAGGGUUGCGCUCGUUGCGGGACUUAACCCAACAUCUCACGACACGAGCUGACGACAGCCAUGCAGCACCUGUCUUGGGACUCCGAAGAGGGGACUCGGUUUCUGAGAGCUUGCUCCUGCAUGUCAAGCCUAGGUAAGGUUCUUCGCGUUGCGUCGAAUUAAACCACAUGCUCCACCGCUUGUGCGGGCCCCCGUCAAUUCCUUUGAGUUUCAACCUUGCGGUCGUACUCCCCAGGCGGGGUACUUCCUGCGUUAGCGCCGGCACCCAGAGGGUCGCUCCCCCAGGCACCUAGUACCCAUCGUUUACGGCGUGGACUAC